Molecule: ribosomal RNA, 507 nt
Filed under: uncultured bacterium
Lineage: Bacteria
Description: partial 16S rRNA
Rfam family: Bacterial small subunit ribosomal RNA
Source: RNAcentral
UGGACAAUGGGCGAAAGCCUGAUCCAGCAAUGCCGCGUGCAGGAUGAAGGCCUUCGGGUUGUAAACUGCUUUUGUACGGAACGAAAAGCUUCGGGUUAAUACCCUGGAGCCAUGACGGUACCGUAAGAAUAAGCACCGGCUAACUACGUGCCAGCAGCCGCGGUAAUACGUAGGUGGCAAGCGUUGUCCGGAAUUAUUGGGCGUAAAGCGCGCGCAGGUGGUUCCUUAAGUCUGAUGUGAAAGCCCCCGGCUCAACCGGGGAGGGUCAUUGGAAACUGGGGAACUUGAGUGCAGAAGAGGAUAGUGGAAUUCCAAGUGUAGCGGUGAAAUGCGUAGAGAUUUGGAGGAACACCAGUGGCGAAGGCGACUGUCUGGUCUGUAACUGACACUGAGGCGCGAAAGCGUGGGGAGCAAACAGGAUUAGAUACCCUGGUAGUCCACGCCGUAAACGAUGAGUGCUAAGUGUUGGGGGGUUUCCGCCCCUCAGUGCUGCAGCUAACGCAUUAA